RNAcentral lists this small RNA (3350 nucleotides) under Pan troglodytes (chimpanzee). RNAcentral describes it as "retained intron". Lineage: Eukaryota; Metazoa; Chordata; Mammalia; Primates; Hominidae. The record is from RNAcentral.
AGGCUUGGUUGAACCGUGCAGAUACCUUCUCGAAACAAAAGAUUUUCCUACCUGCUUAUACUUGGUAACCGAGGGAAUUACUAAGACUUCUUGCUCAUUUCUGAGUAUUGUCUUUAUAUCCUGACACUAUGAAUGCUACUUGGAUGCCUCUUAAGUCUGUUCUCUGGGGAGGCAGUAAGGGGCCGUGGAGCUGGCCUCGGCCUCGGCAUCGGGAGAGGCUGGACUUCCUGUCUCUCUGUGCUGAAUGGCUGCGAUGGCGCCCGCUCUCACUGACGCAGCAGCUGAAGCACACCAUAUCCGGUUCAAACUGGCUCCCCCAUCCUCUACCUUGUCCCCUGGCAGUGCCGAAAAUAACGGCAACGCCAACAUCCUUAUUGCUGCCAACGGAACCAAAAGAAAAGCCAUUGCUGCAGAGGAUCCCAGCCUAGAUUUCCGAAAUAAUCCUACCAAGGAAGACUUGGGAAAGCUGCAACCACUGGUGGCAUCUUAUCUCUGCUCUGAUGUAACAUCUGUUCCCUCAAAGGAGUCUUUGAAGUUGCAAGGGGUCUUCAGCAAGCAGACAGUCCUUAAAUCUCAUCCUCUCUUAUCUCAGUCCUAUGAACUCCGAGCUGAGCUGUUGGGGAGACAGUCAGUUUUGGAGUUUUCCUUAGAAAAUCUUAGAACCAUGAAUACGAGUGGUCAGACAGCUCUGCCACAAGCACCUGUAAAUGGGUUGGCUAAGAAAUUGACUAAAAGUUCAACACAUUCUGAUCAUGACAAUUCCACUUCCCUCAAUGGGGGAAAACGGGCUCUCACUUCAUCUGCUCUUCAUGGGGGUGAAAUGGGAGGAUCUGAAUCUGGGGACUUGAAGGGGGGUAUGACCAAUUGCACUCUUCCACAUAGAAGCCUUGAUGUAGAACACACAAGUUUGUAUAGCAAUAAUAGCACUGCAAACAAAUCUUCUGUCAAUUCCAUGGAACAGCCGGCACUUCAAGGAAGCAGUAGGUUAUCACCUGGUACAGACUCCAGCUCUAACUUGGGGGGUGUCAAAUUGGAGGGUAAAAAGUCUCCCCUGUCUUCCAUUCUUUUCAGUGCUUUAGAUUCUGACACAAGGAUAACAGCUUUACUGCGGCGACAGGCUGACAUUGAGAGCCGUGCCCGCAGAUUACAAAAGCGCUUACAGGUUGUGCAAGCCAAGCAGGUUGAGAGGCAUAUACAACAUCAGCUGGGUGGAUUUUUGGAGAAGACUUUGAGCAAACUGCCAAACUUGGAAUCCUUGAGACCACGGAGCCAGUUGAUGCUGACUCGAAAGGCCGAAGCUGCCUUGAGAAAAGCUGCCAGUGAGACCACCACUUCAGAGGGACUUAGCAACUUUCUGAAAAGCAAUUCAAUUUCAGAAGAAUUGGAGAGAUUUACAGCUAGUGGCAUAGCCAACUUGAGGUGCAGUGAACAGGCAUUUGAUUCAGAUGUCACUGACAGUAGUUCAGGAGGGGAGUCUGAUAUUGAAGAGGAAGAACUGACCAGAGCUGAUCCCGAGCAGCGUCAUGUACCCCUGAGACGCAGGUCAGAAUGGAAAUGGGCUGCAGACCGGGCAGCUAUUGUCAGCCGCUGGAACUGGCUUCAGGCUCAUGUUUCUGACUUGGAAUAUCGAAUUCGUCAGCAAACAGACAUUUACAAACAGAUACGUGCUAAUAAGGUAAGGGAUAAGUAUCUGAUGUUUUUAAAUGCUGCCGAAAACUAUCAAUAUCGCUUUUCUCACAUCCCCUCCCACCUCGUAACCCCCAUAACCCUCUUCUUAACUAUUGCAAAGUAAAUGGUUUAAUGACCUGAUAUAGUGGUUUAAUUUAAGAACCUGAUGUGGCUGCACGUGGUGGCUCACUCUUGUGAUCCCAGCACUUUGGGAGGCCAAGGCAGGAGGAUCAUUUGAGCUCAGGAGUUCGAGACCAGCCUGGGCAACAUAGUGAGACCUUGUCUUUACAAAAAUUACAAAAAUUAGUUGAGCAUGAUAGCAUGUGCCUGUAGUCCCAGCUACUUAGGAGGCUGAAGUGGGAGUAUUGCUUGAGCCCAUGAAGUGGAGGUUGCAGUGAGCCAAGAUUGUGCCACCACACUCCAGCCUGGACAACUAAGAAAGACCUGUCUCAUAAAAAGGAAAACACUAUUAGAAUAUAAUGUUUAAUUGAACAUAUAUUUAGAACAAAACUGUGUGGGUAUCUGAGCUAACAGGAAACAAGGAAAACAGACUGAAUAAUGCAAGCAAGCCAUUGAUGUUAACUGUCAUAUUUGUUAGAUUUAUAUUUGUUAGUUCCCUGUUAUAAAACUGCCACAUUUCAUAGAACUUAAGAUGCUACUGAUGGUAAGAUGUACCAUUAUUUUAAGUGCUUACUGUGUCUCAGCAAUGUUCUCAAAAAUCCUACCUUCAUGAAGCUUACAUUCUUGCAAAGUAUUUUUUAUAUUAGCUUGGUGUGGCUGAGCUCUAUCUUUAUGUAGACCCAUGUCUAGAAAAAGUCUAUUGCUACUAAAAAUAAGGGUCAAAAUGCCUUUUUGACCUUAGUACUAGUCAAAGCCUUAAGAAAAUGGCUUUCCUGUGAACAGUAUCCAUUAAAUUAGUAGGCCAAAAGUUGAAGGUUGAUCAACUGAUAAAAUGAACAGAAUGAUCAGGGUUUGAAGUGAAAGUUCUGUGGGCUAUCUAAUCAUUUAAACUUUUAUUCUAAAAAUGUCACUGCGGACUUAUAGCUUCUUUCCAGAUUGGAGAUACAUAUAUAUAUAUAUUCCCCCUCCCCCUAAAAGUUCAAUAGAGCAUACUUUAAUUGAGGGCUCACUUUUUUAUUCUUACUAGUUUGUUCCCUUAGGGUAGCAUACAAAUUAAAUCCUGAUUUACUUAUUUAAAAAUUAGCUGGAACAAAACUAAUAAACAUUCUAGGAUUUGGUGCAUAUUUUGCUUUCCCAAGUCUUCACAAAGGAAAUUUUAAAGUGAGAUUUGUAGAACUUGAACUGGAAUGAUGACUAAGAAUAACUAGGAGGUGACUGGAUAUGCCUGUACUGAGGAGAAAAACACAGUCUUUCUCUAUCAGAGACACCUCUUCAGUGUCUGUUUCUAGGUUUUUAUAGCCAGUGGUUAAGUGGGAAUUUCUAUAUUUGAGAACUAGAGUCUCUUAGUAACAACUGAGAUUAGUACAAUAGUAGUCAUAAGUGUUGCUUCAUCUUUUUAUAUACAUUCAUAAAUAUAUAUGUGGGUUUAUAUAUGUGUAUAUGUUAUAUCAUCUUAGUUCCUUGUUAUAAAACUGCUAUAUUUCAUAGAACUUAAGAUGCUAUUGAUUGUAAGAUGUACCAUUGUUUUAAGUAUGACAAAGAAAUUAUUUCAGUUAAACUAG